This 45-nucleotide non-coding RNA is filed under the name Schistosoma margrebowiei. The record is from RNAcentral. Lineage: Eukaryota; Metazoa; Platyhelminthes; Trematoda; Strigeidida; Schistosomatidae.
AUCCAUCUGACGAGUCCCAAAUAGAACGAAACGCGUGUCCUGGAU